AGGCUGCAACUCGCCUGCAUGAAGUUGGAAUUGCUAGUAAUCGCGAAUCAGAAUGUCGCGGUGAAUACGUUCCCGGGCCUUGUACACACCGCCCGUCACACCAUGAGAGUUGGAAAUACCCGAAGCCUGUGAGCUAACUUAAAGAGGCAGCAGUCGAAGGUAGAGCCAAUGAUUGGGGUGAAGUCGUAACAAGGUACC
RNAcentral lists this ribosomal RNA (198 nucleotides) under uncultured bacterium. Its description in RNAcentral is "partial 16S ribosomal RNA". It matches the Rfam family "Bacterial small subunit ribosomal RNA", at positions 1302 to 1500 of the family's 1533-position model. The record is from RNAcentral.